UAUUGCGCAAUGGCGAAAGCCUGACGCAGCAACGCCGCGUGGGCGAUGAAGGCUUCGGGUUGUAAAGCCCUUUUCUGGGGGAAGAGKAAUGACGGUACCCCAGGAAUAAGUCUCGGCUAACUACGUGCCAGCAGCCGCGGUAAAACGUAGGAGGCAAGCGUUAUCCGGAUUUAUUGGGCGUAAAGCGCGUGUAGGCGGUUCCGUAAGUUGGAYGUGAAAUCUCCCGGCUCAAUCGGGAGGGGUCGUCCAAGACUGUGGGACUUGAGGUCGGGAGAGGGAAGUGGAAUUCCCGGUGUAGUGGUGGAAUGUGUAGAUAUCGGGAGGAACACCAGUGGCGAAGGCGGCUUUCUGGACUGUWCCUGACGCURAGGCGCGAAAGCGUGGGGAGCGAACGGGAUUAGAUACCCUGGUAGUCCACGCUGUAAACGAUGGGUACUAGGUGUUGGUGGUAUUGACCCUAUCAGUGNGDAKAAGCGAUAAGU
Molecule: ribosomal RNA, 482 nt
Filed under: uncultured Chloroflexota bacterium
Lineage: Bacteria; Bacillati; Chloroflexota
Description: bacterial SSU rRNA
Rfam family: Bacterial small subunit ribosomal RNA
Source: RNAcentral